This 328-nucleotide long non-coding RNA is filed under the name Setaria viridis. Its description in RNAcentral is "long non-coding RNA (SVIR_LNC005881)". The record is from RNAcentral. Lineage: Eukaryota; Viridiplantae; Streptophyta; Magnoliopsida; Poales; Poaceae.
CUCUGUACGUUCGAAACAUAUAAUCCUGCUUUCUUGGACGGCAAGGUUAAGCUUUCACUUUUUUUUCAGAGUUUUGUUUCUAAUUUCUUUUAACCGUUCUUCUUUUUUGGACUUAUUUGGUUCCAUACAUUCCACCUAUUUCCAUCAAAUCGUUCUUAAUUUGUUCGAGUUGGAAGAUGGACUUUUAAUUUGCCAUACUAAGUUAAAAGGUUGCGACGAGCUGUUUGAUCGACAUUUUAAGUUUAGGUCUUCGAAACUGUCACUGUUGGCAGAUGUAACUCAAACAAUUUAACGAUUAUGUACUUUUGAAUGGAACCUUAUAUACACC